Molecule: non-coding RNA, 74 nt
Organism: Parelaphostrongylus tenuis
Lineage: Eukaryota; Metazoa; Nematoda; Chromadorea; Rhabditida; Metastrongylidae
Source: the annotation of a GenBank genome assembly
GACACAAUAGUGCAACGGUUAGCACGCGCCUUCGGAAAAGGCAAAGCCUGAGUUCAACUCCCAUCUGACGUUCA